UACGGAGGGUGCAAGCGUUGUCCGGAUUUAUUGGGUUUAAAGGGUGCGUAGGCGGCCCGUUAAGUCAGUGGUGAAAGCCUCCAGCUCAACUGGAGAACUGCCAUUGAUACUGACGGGCUUGAGUACAGACGAGGUUGGCGGAAUUGAUUGUGUAGCGGUGAAAUGCGUAGAUAUCUGGAGGAACACCGGUGGCGAAGGCGGCAUCCUGGACCGGCAUUGACGCUGAGGCGCGAAAGCCAGGGGAGCAAACGGG
This 253-nucleotide ribosomal RNA is filed under the name uncultured bacterium. RNAcentral describes it as "partial 16S ribosomal RNA". It matches the Rfam family "Bacterial small subunit ribosomal RNA", at positions 524 to 776 of the family's 1533-position model. The record is from RNAcentral.